CCUACGGGAGGCAGCAGUGGGGAAUAUUGGGCAAUGGGCGCAAGCCUGACCCAGCAACGCCGCGUGAAGGAAGAAGGCUUUCGGGUUGUAAACUUCUUUUGACAGGGAAGAGUAGAAGACGGUACCUGUCGAAUAAGCCACGGCUAACUACGUGCCAGCAGCCGCGGUAAUACGUAGGUGGCAAGCGUUGUCCGGAUUUACUGGGGGUAAAGGGCGUGGAGCCGGGUAGACAAGUCAGAUGUGAAAUCCUGCGGCUUAACCGCAGCACUGCAUUUGAAACUGUUGAGCUGGAGUACUGGAGGGGCAGACGGAAUUCCUAGUGUAGCGGUGAAAUGCGUAGAUAUUAGGAGGAACACCAGUGGCGAAGGCGGUUUGCUGGACAGCAACUGACGGUGAGGCGCGAAAGCGUGGGGAGCAAACAGGAUUAGAUACCCUUGUAGUC
This 442-nucleotide ribosomal RNA is filed under the name uncultured bacterium. RNAcentral describes it as "partial 16S ribosomal RNA". It matches the Rfam family "Bacterial small subunit ribosomal RNA", at positions 338 to 795 of the family's 1533-position model. The record is from RNAcentral.